RNAcentral lists this ribosomal RNA (443 nucleotides) under uncultured bacterium. Its description in RNAcentral is "partial 16S ribosomal RNA". It matches the Rfam family "Bacterial small subunit ribosomal RNA", at positions 338 to 795 of the family's 1533-position model. The record is from RNAcentral.
CCUACGGGUGGCAGCAGUGGGGAAUAUUGGGCAAUGGGCGCAAGCCUGACCCAGCAACGCCGCGUGAAGGAAGAAUGCCCUCGGGUUGUAAACUUCUUUUAUCAAGGACGAAAAAAAUGACGGUACUUGAUGAAGAAGCCACGGUUAACUACGUGCCAGCCGCCGCGGGAAUACGUAGGGGGCAAGCGUUAUACGGAUUUACUGGGUGUAAAGGGCGUCUAGGCGGGACUGCAAGUCAGAUGUGAAAACCAUGGGCGCAAACCCUGGCCUGCAUUUGAAACUGUGGUUCUUGAGUGUUGGAGAGGCAGGCGGAAUUCGGGGUGUAGCGGUGAAAUGCGUAGAUAUACGGAGGAACACCAGUGGCGAAGGCGGCCUGCCGGACAAUAACUGACGCUGAGGCGCGAAAGCGUGGGGAGCGAACAGGAUUAGAUACCCUUGUAGUC